RNAcentral lists this transfer RNA (73 nucleotides) under Tuanshanicoccus yangjingiae. Its description in RNAcentral is "tRNA-Val". It matches the Rfam family "tRNA". Rfam says of the family: Transfer RNA (tRNA) molecules are approximately 80 nucleotides in length. Their secondary structure includes four short double-helical elements and three loops (D, anti-codon, and T loops). Lineage: Bacteria; Bacillati; Bacillota; Bacilli; Lactobacillales; Aerococcaceae. The record is from RNAcentral.
GGUUCAUUAGCUCAGUUGGGAGAGCACCAGCUCGACAAGCUGGGGGUCGCUGGUUCGAACCCGGCAUGUACCA